UGUAAACAGACAGUCACAAAACACACCCAUCUCCCUCCAAUUCUCUCACAUAAUACAACUGCCUCCUCUUCGACUACACCUUUCACUAUUCCUUCUACUCGACCUUCGACUUCAAAAUGACAUGGCAUCGAAGGCUGAAAAAAAAUGCCGAUGUUUACAAACCUCGAGAAAGCCCCAAAUAUACAGAUUGUGAAUAUUUUACUAUAAAAAUGAUUCAUGGUGGAGAGAUGCAGUAUGACCCGAAGAAAUAUGUAAAUGGCAAGGUUGAUUACUUUGACAAUUGUAAUGGAGAUGAAAUGAGUUUACUAGAAUUGAUUUCAAUGAUGAAAGAACUAGAAGAAUACGGAGGAUUUCAUACCUACUGGUAUAGGCUGCCAAGUAUUAUCGUGGGUGCAGGGUGUUUAUUGAAGAGUACUACAAUAGUACACAAUUUAAAGAAGAUGUAGUAAGAGAUAAGGAAGAAUACAAGGGUGAUAGUGAUAAUAGAUCAGAUAAAGAAUAUGAGGGUGACGGUGAUGACAGUGACACAUGUAAAGAAAGCUUCCACUCUGACCAUUCAAACAAGGAUGAGAGUGAUGAUGACUUGUUGUUCGAUACCAAUGUUGAUGAGGUUGCCGGUGAGAAAGUGAGAUAUGAUGUUGAUACUGAGGUAGGGAAUGAAAGUGAUCACUCAAGUGUCUAUGCAGGUUCAGAUGAAGAGAGAUUUGCGGCCAACAACACAAAUGAGGAUGAAACCAAUUAUCCUGUGUUUAAUGAAGAUGCAAACAUGGUGAACCCUGUUUUUCAGAGAGGAAUGUGCUUUAAAAACUCCAAGACUUUUAGGGAAACAGUUAAAAAAUAUGCCAUUAUGAAUAGGAGGCCAAUCAUAAAUUGCAGAAAUUUUGGAAAGAAGGUCCAAUAUGUGUGUCAACCACCCUGUAGGUGGAAAAUUUAUGCAUCUCCAAUGCAUAAAGGAUCUGUAACUUACCAGAUUAAAACAUAUGUGAAUAAGCACACAUGUAUGCCUACCUUCAAUCAGAAGCAAAUCAACUCCAAGUGGAUAGCAGAUUAUUAUGAGAUGGAAAUCAGAAUGAAUCCUACUUGGCCCAUCAGUGCAUUUCACAAGAAAAUUGUCAAUGACCUAAAAUGUAAUGUGAGCAAACAUGCAGUUUACAGGGCAAGGUCUAGGGCAUUGAAAAGAAUAAAUGGAACACAUGAAGAGCAAUAUGCAGAUUUAUGGAAGUAUGGUUACCAGUUGAAGAAGGUUCUUCCAGAGACUACUGUCAAGAUAUUAACUGAAAAUCCAGAACCAGAGCAAGUGAGUGGAAGAUUCCUGAGGUUCUAUUUGUGUUUGGGACCACUGAAAAAAGCUUUUAAAGCACACUGCAGAAAGAUUGUGGGACUUGAUGGAUGCCACCUUAAAGGCCCUUUCGGUGGCAUACUUAUCUCAGCUGUAGGUGUGGAUGCAAACGAUGGUAUGUAUCCAGUGGCUUGGGGAGUUGUGGAGUCUGAGACAACUGAUUCAUGGACUUGGUUUUUAAAUUUUUUAUGCCAAGACCUGCAAAUUUUAGUAGAUAAGGAGUGGACUUUUAUCUCAGAUAGGUAGAAGGGAUUAAUACAUGCAUUGGAGUCAAUUGUGCCUCAAGCUGAACACCGGUUUUGUGUCAUGCACUUGUUCCAGAACAUGCACAAAGAGUAUAAAGGAUUGGCAUUGAGGCGUUUAUUGUGGAAAGCUGCUAGAGCCACUACUCUAUCGGAGUUUAAUUUGCAUAUGAAUCAGAUGAAAGAGGUCUCACCAAAUUGUUAUGAAUGGUUAAUGCAAAAACCUAGAGAGCAAUGGUCUAGGUCUGCAUUCAGGACCACCUCACAUAGUGAUAUGUUUGUUAACAAUCACUGUGAGGUAUUUAAUAGCAGUCUGAGCAAGUUGAGGGACCUACACAUCAUCACAAUGUUUAGAGAAUUACAUAAAACAAUAAUGAAGAGGAUCCAGAUCAGAAGAGAUAAAAUGAUAACUACAAAUGCUGUCAUUUGCCCUAGUGCUCAUAAAAAAUUAACAAAGUCUAUACAUUAUGCUGGUAAUUGUGUGGUGACUUGGUCUGGAGGUUCAUCCUACAGUGUCACUAGUAGUGAUGGAGGCCAUGAAUUGGUGGUGAACUUGUUAAAGAGAACCUGUGCAUGUAGGAAGUGGGACCUUACAGGCUUGCCUUGCUAUCAUGCAUGUGCAUGCAUAGCACUAAGGAAUGAGCCAUGGGAAAAUUACAUCCAUGAUUGCUAUAAGAAGGAAACUUAUUUGCAGCUAUACGGCCAUACUUUAGAACCAAUAGUUGGUCCAGAGUUCUGGGAAGAUACCCCAGAACCAAAACCCUUGGCUCCUGCUGUGAAGAUACCUGCAGGGAGGCCAAAGAAAUAAAAAAAAUGAUGUGCCAGCGGACCUUACAAAAUUGAAAAGGACAAAUACAAAGGUUCAUUGCACAUACUGCAAAGCGGUUGGUCAUAAUCAGAGAAGUUGUGCUGCAAGGAAAUCUGAUGAGGCUACAAAGGCUGCAGCAGAAGGGAGAGAAAUCAAUGUUGGAAAGUCUAAGGUGAAGUGUAAGAAUUGCAAUCAAGAAGGCCACAAUUCAAGGACUUGUAAGAUGCAGAAAGCUCCAACAAACCGGUCUAGGUCAGAAACAUAUGAAAGAGAGUGCUUGGGAGUUGGGAACAAAGUUGGUGGGGCAAAAAAGGCACCAUAAUCAAACUACUUUAAAGAACUAAACUAUCAGUUUUAAGAACUAAUUUUUAUUUUGUGAAGCUUCUGUUUGUGAGCUAGUACCUUUUUUGUUAGUGAAGUCAUAAAUUUACUGCA
Daucus carota subsp. sativus is the source of this 2824-nucleotide RNA transcript. RefSeq lists it as uncharacterized. NCBI's taxonomy places the organism in Eukaryota, Viridiplantae, Streptophyta, Magnoliopsida, Apiales, Apiaceae. The transcript is spliced from 7 exons. The record is from RefSeq and is a predicted model, not a curated record.